This 1172-nucleotide long non-coding RNA is filed under the name Rattus norvegicus (Norway rat). Its description in RNAcentral is "long non-coding RNA NONRATT020053". The record is from RNAcentral. Lineage: Eukaryota; Metazoa; Chordata; Mammalia; Rodentia; Muridae.
UCCUGGGAUAGUCCUAAGGUGCCUCUUGAAUCUCCUGUUCUGUCAACUGAAGGCUUUCCUUUCAGGGGCCCCACAGCAGGAAGGGACCACUGUCCCACUUUACUGCUUUGAAGGUUACCUUGUCCUUCCAUCCAUACAUCCCCCUUGAGCGCCCAGAUUCCUUUUACACCUUUGCUGUGAUUGGGCCCUUUCCUGCCCCCGCUCUCACCCUAUGUCAAGCUACUGAGGUUCUUGUAUCCCCUCUGUUACAUCACUGUUCACUGUGGCCACGAAUCAGCUGGUUUUGGCAGAUGUUUACCUGUUUAUGUAUAUACUCCUUUUUAAAAACUUGUUUUGUUUUUCUUCAUUGAGUUACAAGUCCUGUUAUAUGCAGCUGUAUGACUCUAGGGACACUGGGAGGAUCAGCAGAGUGGGUACUUCCUUGAAGUCCCUCCUCUACAACCUCAGACUAAUGUCACAAAUAAAACCUUCCUGCCCUAGGAACCAAGAGCCUUUCCUUGGCACAAGCCCCAGAUGUCAUUUGCUUUUGAGGAUGUGGGCCAGUUUCCUUUCUUCAAAAGAGCAAGGUUGAAAUAUUUUUGGCCCUUGCCCCUUUGAGCAUUAGAGAUACUGGAAGGUGAAGUUUAUUUCAGAGCCGUACAAAAAUAAUUCUCAAAUCAGCUUCAGAAUUAGUUCUUAUCACUCCUUCCUAGUAUCCUCAGAGGUUGUCUACAGUUUAACUUGUAGAACCAUGACCCUUGUGACAGUGCUGGCGUUGUUUCAGGUCCUCCAAGGCCGUUUCUAGCAGGUCAGCGAAGGCCCAAUAGUCCCAUCUGCAUGGAACCCUCAAUUCUGGGAGAGGAAGUGUGAUCACUGCCCUACCACAUGUUUAUACCUGCCUCUCUGGUUCCUCCUGACUCCUAUUGCUUCCCUGCUUGUUGGGCCAUUCAGAACCCAGAAAGGAAGGUCUUCCCCCUCCACAUGCAAACACGGGUGCUUGUGGCUGCUUUCAGUUUGGUUUUCUGAGAAAAUAGGACAGGAUUUGGUUUUGCAGAGGGUGCAAGCUCCUUUCCAUGCCUGCCCAGGAGGCACGCAAAAGGGCAAGUUUGAGUUCUUUGAGUUCUACUUUGUAUGUUGUUUAGCAAGUAUCUGCUUGGUACUUUGAUUUAAAAUAAAAACACUUUUAUAAUUUG